CCGCCAUCUUGGAUAGCUGAGAGGAAAGUGUUCCGCGCGCGAGCGAAAAACAGGGACGGAGAUGCAGAGAGAGAGGCGCAGGUGGGAGGCUGGUGGACUCUGAUGGACUGAAGAUGAGAGACCCUCUAAGACCCGAUCAGUCCUGAGUGGUGAGUGAGCUGAACAGCAGCUGAUGACGUCUCCUCUGCAGCUCAACCUUCAGCUUCACUUCARAUAUUUUCUAAGUUCAUUUGUCUGUAAAAUAAAAUGUUGAAUUUUUAAAAGCUU
Long non-coding RNA from Austrofundulus limnaeus, 267 nucleotides. RefSeq lists it as uncharacterized. The transcript has 2 exons. The record is from RefSeq and is a predicted model, not a curated record. NCBI's taxonomy places the organism in Eukaryota, Metazoa, Chordata, Actinopteri, Cyprinodontiformes, Rivulidae.